UGUGGCUAGUGGCUACUGUAUUGGACAAUACAGUUCUAGUGGAAUAAUGAGCUCAAAUUUUGCCAAAUUUACGUAGACAUAUCAAAGUCAGCAUUCACAAUUAAAAAAAUGAAUGAUACUAUUCUACAUGUAAUUUAUGACUAACCAGUUCAUCUUAAGUCUCACUGUGAUAGACAUUAGAAAGUGGAGUUCUUUUCUUGAUGAGUCUAUUUCUUGACCUCUGUUUCUGCCCCUAACUCCAGCUUACAUAUACAUGAAAAGGCAGAAUUCCCAUUUGACUUUAAGAGGCCAGAAGGUUUGGUAUGCCUACCUCAAAUCAGGCUUAUAUGUUUCCUCAUGCAAAAAGAUGAUAGUAAAUAUAAGACCUCACCCUCUCUUUUAUCUCUUGUUCAGAAGACAUCUGUAUUCAAAUAUAAAUUUGUGCUGACAAAUACAUCUAAAGGGCAGUAGAUGUCUAUGAGAAUUGUGACCAAAACUGAUAUAUAUAUAUUUUAAAUUGGGACGUAGCUGUUUUACAAUGUUGUGUUAGUUUCUACUGUACAGCGAAGUGGAGUUCCCUGUGCUAUAUAGCAGGUUCUCAUUAGUUAUCUAUUUUUUACAUAUUAGUGUAUAUAUGUCAAUCCCAAUCUCCCAAGUCAUCCCACCCCCCGUUUCACCCCUUGGUGUCUAUACAUUAGUUCUCUAUGCCUGUGUCUCUAUUUCUGCCUUGCAAAUGAGUUCAUCUGUACCAUUUUUCUAGAUAUGUUUUUUUAAAGGGAAACUGAGUGUGCUGGGUAAGAUGGAGGUGAAAGUGGUUGUGAAAGGUAAAAGGAAUAAGAACAAAAUUAAAAUGUAUCAAGAUCCAAAACAGGAGAAGAGAAAGCUCUCAAAGCAAAAGUGAAAGCAUGAGACAGGAAGAUAACGUGUGGGGUAGGCAGAUGGUAGAGAGGGUGGAAGCAGGACAGUGUCUGGGUCAAAGCAUCUGCAAGACACAGGAGAAAAAGAACAUCCAAAUUCAGAAGGAGACUAAUCCAGAGCUGAGCGCUCCUCUGAACGCAUGUCACUAAGAUCAAUUGGGUCCUGCUGAAAAUUUUCAGACCACGUUUACCUGACUUCUGAGUCACGGUCUAUGACUCCAAGCAGAUCGAGAACCACUGACCUAGACAAUUGCAGGCACGGAAGGAAAUCCACCUGCUGUGCGGACAAAGUUUUAAUCAACGAACACAAAUAGCCAAGCAACCGACUUUCUGAAAAAUGAGUCCACUAUUUACUUUAAAGGAGCAGUCUCUAAAUGGGAAAUCAUUGCCUAUCCUCAAAAAGCAUGGUUACACACUGAUUCUACAGAAGUAAACUCUGAUGCUAGGAGUGGAUGAGACUCUGAAAGAAAUCAAGCUUUCUGCUUCUUCCCUCCCAGAGGAUCUUUUCAAGUUAAUAUCCCUGAAAGCCUAAAACAAAGCCACUUACAGACACAAGGAAUUGAAAGAACCCUAAAAAGCAGACAUUGUUACCAUCUCCAUUUUACCGAAGAGGAAACCUUGGUUUAAGGAAGUUGAAAACCUGAUGACAGGAGUGCCAGGAUUUGAAGAUAGAACUUGAAUUCAGGUCAUCUGAUGCUGGACUGAUGGUCUUUGUGUCACUCUACAACACUGUAAUAUUCCUUCCUUUGUAUCUGUCCUAGUUUUUUUUUUUUCCAUAGAAGUUGACCCUGAGAAAAGGAUUUGAGUGGAGAUUUGGGGAGGUGCAGGGAAAACCUGAGGAGUAGGGAUGAGAAAAGCAUCCAGUAAGGAGUGAUAUUAAGUCACUAUAUGCAAAUGGACUUUAAUAGCUCAGGUAAUACUGGGAAUGGAGAUAUUUGGAGCAUUUGGAGAUUGGGCCUUUAUAGAGGUGAUUAAGCUAAAAUGAGCAUGUUAGAGUGGGCCCUAAUCCAAUCUGUCAUGUCCUUAUAAGAAGAAGAAAUCUGGACACACAAAGAGACAUCAGGGAUGUGCACACAGAGGAAAGACCAUGUGAGGACGCAAUGAAAAGGCGGCCACCUGCAAGCCAAGGAGAGAGGCCUCAGAAGAAACCACACUUGCCAACAGCUUGACCUUGGACUUUUACCCUCCUGAACUGUGAGAAAAUAAAUGUCUAUCAUUUAAGCCACCCAGUCUGUGGUAUUUUGUUAUGGCAGCAAUUGCAAAAGAAUACAUGAUGGCUCAGAAAUUUUCCUCCCAAGUAGUAAGGGAGCUGGAAUAAAUGUUCUUAAGUUUCACCCUCUGUACUCAUGGGUCUCAUAUGGUCUCCUUGUCAACUCAAAGACCCUGGCUAGGGACUCUGACCUGUGAACCACCUGCACUGUCCUCACCUACGUCCUGUUUUUGCCUCCCCACUACCAUCCCUGUUCUGCUGUUUUCCGGUAUUGCUCACAACCGUGCAUAGACAACACACCCAUUUCCAUCUGAAUAAGACACUGGAGAAUCAGCCUUCCCAGCUACUACUCAGGUAGAUGGGUAUUUUGGAAAUAGCAUUAGAAUUCAAAAAGAGUUAGAAGCGCUGGAAUGAAGUACACAAAGUGAAUUUUAAUAGCGAACACACAUAGGAUUAAAAACAUUUCAGAGAGACAACAACCAUCAGUUAUAGCUAAAGAUUUUGAAUUCCAACUGAAUUUCAAUGCAGAAUAUAGCGCAGUAACACAUUAUCCGUGUCAUUACUUUAAGUAAAGAGCACGGGGCUGAUACAGAACAAGUGAGGUACAGAUGUGAACGCACAUUUUAAUUCAUUGCACCAGUGCUGUUAGAUGAUAUUAUUAUGUAUCUAGAGGACAAGAGGAUAUGCUGGAAGAAGAAAUUAAUUUUCCAUUACGCAUCUGGGUAAAAAUUAUAUCUAGUUUGGAACAUUAUGAAAUGAUAUAUAAAGUGGAAAUAUUGAAAAGAGGCAAGAAGUGAAAAAUAGAGAUGGUUUAACAUUUGUUUAGAAGUCUUUGAGGAAAAGCCUGUGAAAUUUGGAAAAUGAAGAUCAGCAACAAUACUGAAGUUUCUGAAGUGGUAUCUGGUGGAUUCAGAUCAGUUAUCUAUUCCUAUUGGGGAUUUACAAGAGAAGAAAUGGAUAUUGAAAGCUGAAGGAGAGAUUUAACUGAGCCUCACAAACCUUGAGGGUCAGAGUAAAAUAUUAGAAAAUGCCACCAAAGGUUAAAAAAAUUUCCUCUCCAGGGACCUGUAAGAACAAGGAUGAUCAAUCACACUUUACAAUGGAUCUUGGGAACCAGGCCACACAAUUUAUCACAGUGAGAACAAAUAAUUUGGAAAUAUAGCUCUGAGAACAAAUAAUUUGGAAGUAUACAGUUCUUGGACACUUGAGUGGUAUUUAAGAAUUCAGUGACAAAUUAACUUGUCUACAACUUCUUUAUUUAAAGCCUGACCUAAUCUCUCUCAGAACUGCAGGUUCAAAUUGAUUUCUGUGGCCUGGAUAGACACUUAUUCUGGUGGAGUUAUGUAAGGUUCUUCUAUAAAGGAGGGAGAUGAGCCUCUUGGAGACUUUUCUAUCUUUGUGUUGAUUUUUUUAGAGAUGAAAUUCACAUAACGUAAAAUAAACUAUUCUUAAUGCGUUCAAUUCAGUGGCAUAUGAUAUAUUCACACUGGUACAAAACCAUCACCUUGAUAAAGUUCCAAAUUUGUGUUGAUAUUUGCAGUUAAGACAGUCUUCAGUUUAUUUCUUUUUGAGGUUUCCUAAUAAAAUAACAAUGUGGUACAGAAUCUAGAAAUCUGAGAGGUUUUGGUAAACUUUCAUUUGGAAUUAAAACAGUCACUUAAUACAUGAAUGAUACAUGUUUGUGCUUCAUAAAUGAAUGAUAAUAAAAUAAGUUAGAGUGCUAUUAACCAAUAAGAUAAAAUGCUGAUUAGAGAGUGUCCUGCUAAUUAUCUUCAGGAGAACUAUGAAGAGGUACUACACCCCAAAAGGCACAUUUCAAAUAAAAUUUGAUUAUUGUUAGCUGUAGAAAGUUCAAUCUUUAGUGGGUAAUUUUGUAUAUGAACUUCAGAAACACUAAUAUAAAAGUCUAUCCCUCUAUGUUGGCCAACUGUUACAUGAUAUAGUUGAAAAAUGUUAAGCAUAACGGCAAGAUAAACACGGGUCAUUGAGACAAGUAAAAACAUACAGUAUUUUAUAAAUAAGUACAUAGGAAUGAAUGAACAUUUAAGAGUAAUAAAACUAGAUACAACAGGCUUUGAUGAUGUAAAAAUAUAUAUGCUUAGAAAGAGCAGAAGGAAUUGUCUUCCCACUCUCACUCCAACAAGGUAGAGAGAAGGUAUGUGACAAGCUGGUGUUCUUUCUGCACACAGAGGAUUAAGACAUGAGAGAACCAGAUGUUCUCUCAGGAAAUCCAGAGAUUUCUGGCCCUUUGUAUUUUACUUUGUGAGUGGUUUUUAAAGAUAGACAAUGAUAGAUAGAUGAUAGAUAGCUAGUAGCUAGAUAGAUUCAUUGAAUAAUACAUGUAACCUUAGGAAAACACAUGUUUGAAGAGAGGAAAGAUUCCCCAGGCCAAGUAUCUCUCCCUAGAAGUCCUCCCUGGGGCCUGAAAACACUCUCAGAAGACAAUAUAAUUUUGGGUUAAACUGUAUAUAUGUGCUCUGAAAGUGGUCACAUAUCAGAUAGUUACAGCAUCUCUCCAAUUAGUUUAAGAAACUAAUUUAGUAGGACCAGUAGUGACUGGAUAAAUCAGGAUGGAGGAAUUUCCUCAAGACUAAGGAUGUGAGGUUAAGGACUUCAUUGGGAGAGGGUAGUUUUGGGGACCUGACCCAGAGCAUCAUGAGGGCAUCGGAAACCCAUCCUGAAAGAAGUAAAGAGCUCAGAGGCAUUCUGAACAGGCUUGACUGUCCUUAUGAUCUGGUCUAUAACUGGUGGUACUGGGCUCUCACAGAGAAGCCUUCUUAAUACAGUCAGUAUUCAUUAUUUCUCUGCAAAACAUUUAGGGUACAAUAAACAACAUUUCCUGUAUUGGGAAGUGAUAUCUUUUUUUUUUUUUAAAUCAAGAAAAGCGAUAUCUGCAGCUUUACAUAAGCAUCCUUUUAUUUCACCAACAGUGCAUCUGCUUUUGGGUUAGUUGCACCUAUCAUACUUCGCCAGUAAUGCUGAGCCUUUGAAGGAAGAUUUUGUUGUUUGGCUCUUCUGAAGCUGGCUGAUUUCAAUUUUUCUUGACUGAUCCUGUAAACUACUUAACUGUCCCCAAAUUCCUCUUAAAGAGAAAAUUUUC
Long non-coding RNA from Aethalodelphis obliquidens (Pacific white-sided dolphin), 5206 nucleotides. RefSeq lists it as uncharacterized. NCBI's taxonomy places the organism in Eukaryota, Metazoa, Chordata, Mammalia, Artiodactyla, Delphinidae. The record is from RefSeq and is a predicted model, not a curated record. The transcript is spliced from 4 exons.